Molecule: transfer RNA, 76 nt
Filed under: Desmophyllum pertusum
Lineage: Eukaryota; Metazoa; Cnidaria; Anthozoa; Scleractinia; Caryophylliidae
Description: tRNA-Thr
Rfam family: tRNA (bases 3-70)
About the family: Transfer RNA (tRNA) molecules are approximately 80 nucleotides in length. Their secondary structure includes four short double-helical elements and three loops (D, anti-codon, and T loops).
Source: RNAcentral
UACUCCGUAGCUCAGUGGUUAGAGCAUCCAACCGGUGUAUGGAAGGUCAUGGGUUCAAAUCCUGUUGGGGCCUUAG